AUGCAUACCCGUGAUCACAAUGUCAAUCGUGUUCUCGCAGCAAGAGAUGCUCAUCUCCACAGCACUCUUCCCCUAUACUACUUGUGCUUGAGGGCUGGCUAUAGAUCAAAUAACCCAGCGGUGCUCCCAACAAACUGGCCCACACUGCACAUGUUCCCUUCCUUCGUGGCCAACCUCCACAACUUGCAUGAUUAUUUCGCCCUUGUCCUCGCUGGAUCAGGUCACAACUUCAGGGCGCACGGCCCUCCUGGGACCGGGAUGCGGUUAUUCGUCACAUGCGACCCUGCGAACAUCCGGCACAUCUUCACGACCAACUACACCAACUUUCCCAAGGGUGCGGAGUUUGCCGCUAUCUUUGACAUCAUGGGUGGAAGCCUCUUUACUAUUGACGGCGAGCUGUGUCGUCAGCAGCGCGCCAAAGUCAAGGGCGUACUUAGCAGUCCAUGGAUGGUUGCCAGGAUUGCCGCUUGCUGCCGCGACAAGGUGGAGAACAACCUGCUCCCCUUGUUUACCAACAUGGAGAGCAUUGGCACUCCGUUCGACAUGCAAGAAAUGAUGUCGAGGUUUAUGUUUGACCUGGGUGCUACGCCUCUCUUUGGCGUGGACCCGGGGCUCCUAUCAUCGGACAUGCCGCCCAUGGAUGUCGCGGUCGCCAUGGACACGGUCAUGGAGGCGGGCUUCUUUCGGCAUGUGGUGCCAGCUUCUUGUUGGAAAUUGAUGAGGCGGCUAAACAUCGGCCCUGAGAGAAAGCUCAGAGUGGCGCACACUAUGUUACGAGGGUUUAUCGUGGAUAUGAUGGAGAGGAGGAAGAUCAACACAUGCCAUAUUGGUAAUGAUGAGGAACAAGAGGGUGUGGAUAUUAUGUCUCCCUUCCUCAAUGAUCCAGACUACGCCAACGAUGAAUUGGCCCAUGCAAUGAUCAUUGGCUACAUGCUCGCUGCAAGGGACACAGUUGGAACGACCCUAACAUGGAUCUUCUACAAUCUCGCUCAGAACCCAAACAUUGUGUCAAUCAUACGCAAUGAACUCUCGCCCAUUGCAUCAACCAAAGUAGCAGCCCGCGCGGAUGCCAUGGUGAUCUUUGAGCAGAACGAGACCAAAUAUCUAGUAUAUCUGAAAGCCGUCUUGUACGAGACUCUUAGGUUGUACCCACCAGCGCCUUUUGAGAGGAAGACGGUGGCCGCCGAUGAUAUAAUGCCAAGUGGCCAUGAACUGGGCACCGGCGACACCAUCCUUAUUUCUCUCCAUUCCAUGGGAAGAAUGGAGGGCAUAUGGGGUAAAGACUGCCUCAACUACAAUCCAGAUAGGUGGCUCUCGGAGGAUGGCAAUAAGCUGAGAUACGUACCAUCUCACAAGUUCUUGGCCUUCAACUCGGGCCCGAGAAUGUCACCUUACGAGGUAUGUUAG
Molecule: ribosomal RNA, 1407 nt
Filed under: Triticum aestivum (bread wheat)
Lineage: Eukaryota; Viridiplantae; Streptophyta; Magnoliopsida; Poales; Poaceae
Description: partial small subunit ribosomal RNA
Source: RNAcentral